CAAUAAGAAGCCAUCUUCUUUUCUUCUCAAAAAUUAGGGUUUAGACUCCAUCUUUUUAGUAGGCCAUACUUGGGUAAUUGCUUAGUUAUUUAAUUUCCAUGGAGGCGUUGAGGCAUUCUACGUGAAGACCACCACUGGAGCUGGUGAUUCUUUUGUUGGCGCCCUUCUAACUAAGAUUGCCGAUGACCAAUCUGUUCUUGAGGAUGAAGCGAGGUUGAAGGAAGUACUAAUGUUUGCCUGUGCAUGUAGAGUCAUCACAACAACCAAGAAAGGAGUAAUCCCAACUCUGCCUACUGAAUCUGAAGCCCGCAUUUUGCUUAAGGAAGGAGCAUAGAACGAAGAAGAUGUAACCCUUUUAAUUCUUUUUAAUCGUGAUAUAUUUCUCCCCUUCACGAGUUUUUAUUUUCAAUUAACCAAUUAGGUAGUAGCAGCGUUUUAUUUUUUACUUUCGAGGUUUGAUUUAAUGGUUUCAUGCAAUGAUGAAAGACAAUGCAUUAAGGCACUUAAUAAACUAGCUUUCUUCCUA
Nicotiana tabacum (common tobacco) is the source of this 526-nucleotide long non-coding RNA. RefSeq lists it as uncharacterized. Lineage: Eukaryota; Viridiplantae; Streptophyta; Magnoliopsida; Solanales; Solanaceae. The record is from RefSeq and is a predicted model, not a curated record.